UCGUUUGCCGCCUUUUUUUUUUGUUUCUGAAGAUUUACCUGUAAAUGAAUGAAUUACCACAACAAUAACGAGAAACUGUCCCGCCUCUGAAAUGACUGUCCUUUUUGGAUGACGUCAUGAAUCCCUAUUAUUUUUCAGCUGCUCUGCUCCAAUCAUCUCCAUUCUGCAUCUCCAGCCACACAGAUGCCUGCGGCCCAUUUGGUGAACGUCACUGUCAUCACAGUCAUUCUCACAGGAGCCCAGGGGAAUGUAAGUCACCCUCUUUAAAGACUACAGGGGAUGCCAGGUACGAAUACGCUCCGUGUCCCGGCUGACGCUUAGAAAGUGGCCCCGCCGCACCCGUGGAAUUAGACAGACAGGGUGGCACUGCAGACCGGGACGCAAUGCCACGCUGAGGUCUCUGCCAGAUCAGGCCCGGAUUAUUUGAAAUGCACUGAGCUCCUGCUGUGAUCACACGAGCAUUCAUUGGUCACGAAGAGUCGGCGCUGUCUCUAAGCAUUAAAUGUGGACCAAAUUUAGA
Long non-coding RNA from Sinocyclocheilus rhinocerous, 520 nucleotides. RefSeq lists it as uncharacterized. The transcript has 3 exons. Lineage: Eukaryota; Metazoa; Chordata; Actinopteri; Cypriniformes; Cyprinidae. The record is from RefSeq and is a predicted model, not a curated record.